This 454-nucleotide ribosomal RNA is filed under the name Metrioptera caprai. RNAcentral describes it as "partial 16S ribosomal RNA". It matches the Rfam family "Bacterial large subunit ribosomal RNA", at positions 1803 to 2529 of the family's 2925-position model. The record is from RNAcentral. Lineage: Eukaryota; Metazoa; Arthropoda; Insecta; Orthoptera; Tettigoniidae.
UUUAACAAAAACAUGUCCUUUUGAGGAAAAUUUAAGGUCGGGCCUGCCCACUGACAUUAGUUGAAGGGCCGCGGUAUUUUGACCGUGCAAAGGUAGCAUAAUCAUUAGUCUUUUAAUUGAGGGCUGGAAUGAAUGGUUUGACGAAAUAUUAACUGUCUCUUUAUAAUAAUUGAAAUUUAACUUUUGAGUCAAAAGGCUUAAAUAAAUAUAAAAGACGAGAAGACCCUAUAGAUCUUUAUAUAAUUGAUGUAAUUAUUUAUUUAGUUGUGUUAAUUAUAAUUAUAGUAUUAUAUUUUGUUGGGGUGACAUGAAGAUAUAUAUAACUCUUUAUAAUGGAGACAUUGAUUUAUGAUUGUUUGAUCCGUUAUUAACGAUUAUAAGAUAAAGUUACCUUAGGGAUAACAGCGUAAUUUUUUUUGAGAGUUCUUAUCGACAAAAAAGAUUGCGACCUCGA